AUUGAACGCUGGCGGAAUGCUUUACACAUGCAAGUCGAACGGCAGCACGGACUUCGGUCUGGUGGCGAGUGGCGAACGGGUGAGUAAUGUAUCGGAACGUGCCCAGUCGUGGGGGAUAACGUAGUGAAAAUUACGCUAAUACCGCAUACGAUCUAUGGAUGAAAGCGGGGGAUCGCAAGACCUCGCGCGAUUGGAGCGGCCGAUAUCAGAUUAGGUAGUUGGUGGGGUAAAGGCCCACCAAGCCAACGAUCUGUAGCUGGUCUGAGAGGACGACCAGCCACACUGGAACUGAGACACGGUCCAGACUCCUACGGGAGGCAGCAGUGGGGAAUUUUGGGCAAUGGGCGAAAGCCUGAUCCAGCCAUUCCGCGUGCAGGAUGAAGGCCCUCGGGUUGUAAACUGCUUUUGUACAGAACGAAAAGGUUUCUACUAAUACUAGGAGCUCAUGACGGUACUGUAAGAAUAAGCAUCGGCUAACUACGUGCCAGCCGCCGCGGUAA
RNAcentral lists this ribosomal RNA (500 nucleotides) under uncultured bacterium. RNAcentral's name for it is "partial 16S ribosomal RNA". It matches the Rfam family "Bacterial small subunit ribosomal RNA", at positions 30 to 523 of the family's 1533-position model. The record is from RNAcentral.